UCAGUUACUGAUUUACAGACAGGUGCAAAAAAAAAAAAAAUCCUCUUUUACAACCCAGAACUCAUUGCUAAGUAUGAGUUUUGAUACAUAUAAGAAGGAAUAUU
RNAcentral lists this small nucleolar RNA (104 nucleotides) under Otolemur garnettii (small-eared galago). RNAcentral describes it as "Small nucleolar RNA SNORA40 (ENSOGAG00000021958.2)". It matches the Rfam family "Small nucleolar RNA SNORA40", at positions 29 to 128 of the family's 128-position model. From Rfam's summary of the family: The snoRNA ACA 40 belongs to the H/ACA family of snoRNAs and guides the pseudouridylation of 28S rRNA subunit at position U4565. The record is from RNAcentral. Lineage: Eukaryota; Metazoa; Chordata; Mammalia; Primates; Galagidae.